This 641-nucleotide ribosomal RNA is filed under the name Meyerozyma guilliermondii. RNAcentral describes it as "partial large subunit ribosomal RNA". The stretch from base 1 to 565 matches the Rfam family "Eukaryotic large subunit ribosomal RNA", at positions 84 to 664 of the family's 3401-position model. Lineage: Eukaryota; Fungi; Ascomycota; Pichiomycetes; Serinales; Debaryomycetaceae. The record is from RNAcentral.
UAGCGGCGAGUGAAGCGGCAAAAGCUCAAAUUUGAAAUCUGGCGCCUUCGGUGUCCGAGUUGUAAUUUGAAGAUUGUAACCUUGGGGUUGGCUCUUGUCUAUGUUUCUUGGAACAGGACGUCACAGAGGGUGAGAAUCCCGUGCGAUGAGAUGCCCAAUUCUAUGUAAGGUGCUUUCGAAGAGUCCAGUUGUUUGGGAAUGCAGCUCUAAGUGGGUGGUAAAUUCCAUCUAAAGCUAAAUAUUGGCGAGAGACCGAUAGCGAACAAGUACAGUGAUGGAAAGAUGAAAAGAACUUUGAAAAGAGAGUGAAAAAGUACGUGAAAUUGUUGAAAGGGAAGGGUUUGAGAUCAGACUCGAUAUUUUGUGAGCCUUGCCUUCGUGGCGGGGUGACCCGCAGCUUAUCGGGCCAGCAUCGGUUUGGGCGGUAGGAUAAUGGCGUAGGAAUGUGACUUUACUUCGGUGAAGUGUUAUAGCCGGCGUUGAUGCUGCCUGCCUAGACCGAGGACUGCGAUUUUAUCAAGGAUGCUGGCAUAAUGAUCCCAAACCGCCCGUCUAAAAAAAACGACAACAAGUGAUUUCAGUGGGGACCGGUUUGGUGCGACGAGACUUUUCUCUCCCCUUAUCUGAUUGACCAUGCAGUU